RNAcentral lists this ribosomal RNA (780 nucleotides) under uncultured Neocallimastigales. Its description in RNAcentral is "partial large subunit ribosomal RNA". It matches the Rfam family "Eukaryotic large subunit ribosomal RNA", at positions 23 to 646 of the family's 3401-position model. Lineage: Eukaryota; Fungi; Neocallimastigomycota; Neocallimastigomycetes; Neocallimastigales. The record is from RNAcentral.
AGAGAGAGACAUGCGCGCAUAUCAAUAAGCGGAGGAAAAGAAACUAACUAGGAUUCCCUUAGUAACGGCGAGUGAAGCGGGAAGAGCUCAAAUUUGAAAUCUUCAAGGUUCUACCUUGACGAAUUGUAGUUUAAAGAAGUGUUUUCUGUUGAAGUUUUGGUAAAAGUUCUUUGGAAUAGGACAUCAUAGAGGGUGAGAAUCCCGUAUUUGACCAUUAUUUUCAGCUGUGUGAUACACUUUCAAAGAGUCGGAUUGUUUGGGAAUGCAGUCCAAAAUGGGUGGUAAAUUUCAUCUAAAGCUAAAUACUGGCGAGAGACCGAUAGCGAACAAGUACCGUGAGGGAAAGAUGAAAAGAACUUUGAAAAGAGAGUUAAACAGUACGUGAAAUUGUCAAAAGGGAAGCGUUUGACACCAGUGUUGUUUUCUCGAAAAUCAAUUAAAAAGAGCUAGGAUUUUGUGUUGUAUUGACCUUUAAUCAGCUUUCUGCACUUCAAUUUUCUUGUCUUUUUUAAUGCACUUUUCGUUUAACAAGUCAACAUCAAUUUCUUUUGUUGUAAAAGGGUCAUUGGAAGGUGGCUUUCUUUUCGGAGAAAGUGUUUAUAGCCUUUGGCCUCUGCAAUCGGAGAGAUUGAGGUCUGCAGCGUAGAUCCUUCGGGGUUAGAUACAUUUGUGCUAAGUUAUAGCCUUUCAUAGACAACUUGUUGACUAUGAUCAGUCAUGUAGCUUACUCGCUUAUGCUAUUUUACCUACGCUUAGGAUGUUGAUGUGAUACUGCGAGCA